UCAGGACGAACGCUGGCGGCGUGCUUAACACAUGCAAGUCGAACGGAAAGGCCCUUCGGGGUACUCGAGUGGCGAACGGGUGAGUAACACGUGGGUGAUCUGCCCUGCACUUUGGGAUAAGCCUGGGAAACUGGGUCUAAUACCGAAUAGGACCACGCGCUUCAUGGUGUGUGGUGGAAAGCUUUUGCGGUGUGGGAUGGGCCCGCGGCCUAUCAGCUUGUUGGUGGGGUAAUGGCCUACCAAGGCGACGACGGGUAGCCGGCCUGAGAGGGUGACCGGCCACACUGGGACUGAGAUACGGCCCAGACUCCUACGGGAGGCAGCAGUGGGGAAUAUUGCACAAUGGGCGCAAGCCUGAUGCAGCGACGCCGCGUGAGGGAUGACGGCCUUCGGGUUGUAAACCUCUUUCAAUAGGGACGAAGCGCAAGUGACGGUACCUAUAGAAGAAGCACCGGCCAACUACGUGCCAGCAGCCGCGGUAAUACGUAGGGUGCGAGCGUUGUCCGGAAUUACUGGGCGUAAAGAGCUCGUAGGUGGUUUGUCGCGUUGUUCGUGAAAACUCACAGCUUAACUGUGGGCGUGCGGGCGAUACGGGCAGACUAGAGUACUGCAGGGGAGACUGGAAUUCCUGGUGUAGCGGUGGAAUGCGCAGAUAUCAGGAGGAACACCGGUGGCGAAGGCGGGUCUCUGGGCAGUAACUGACGCUGAGAGC
Molecule: ribosomal RNA, 712 nt
Filed under: Mycobacterium sp. VN15-3
Lineage: Bacteria; Bacillati; Actinomycetota; Actinomycetes; Mycobacteriales; Mycobacteriaceae
Description: bacterial SSU rRNA
Rfam family: Bacterial small subunit ribosomal RNA
Source: RNAcentral